CCUACGGGAGGCAGCAGUAAGGAAUAUUGGUCAAUGGAGGCAACUCUGAACCAGCCAUGCCGCGUGCAGGAAGACUGCCCUAUGGGUUGUAAACUGCUUUUAUCCGGGAAUAAACCUGCUUACGUGUAAGUAGCUGAAUGUACCGGAAGAAUAAGGAUCGGCUAACUCCGUGCCAGCAGCCGCGGUAAUACGGAGGAUCCAAGCGUUAUCCGGAUUUAUUGGGUUUAAAGGGUGCGUAGGCGGCCUGUUAAGUCAGGGGUGAAAGACGGUAGCUCAACUAUCGCAGUGCCCUUGAUACUGAUGGGCUUGAAUGGACUAGAGGUAGGCGGAAUGAGACAAGUAGCGGUGAAAUGCAUAGAUAUGUCUCAGAACACCGAUUGCGAAGGCAGCUUACUAUGGUCUUAUUGACGCUGAGGCACGAAAGCGUGGGGAUCAAACAGGAUUAGAUACCCUGGUAGUCCACGCCCUAAACGAUGAACACUCGCUGUUGGCGAUACACAGUCAGCGGCUAAGCGAAAGCGUUAAAGNGUUCCAACCUGGGGAGUUACGCCCGCGAAGGGUUGAAACUUCAAUUGAAUUGACGG
Molecule: ribosomal RNA, 584 nt
Filed under: uncultured bacterium
Lineage: Bacteria
Description: bacterial SSU rRNA
Rfam family: Bacterial small subunit ribosomal RNA
Source: RNAcentral